UACGAAGGGUGCAAGCGUUAAUCGGAAUUACUGGGCGUAAAGCGUGCGUAGGUGGUUUGUUAAGUCUGCUGUGAAAGCCCUGGGCUCAACCUGGGAAUGGCGGUGGAUACUGACAAGCUAGAGUGCGGUAGGGGAGCAUGGAAUUCCUGGUGUAGCGGUGAAAUGCGCAGAUAUCAGGAGGAACACCAGUGGCGAAGGCGGUGCUCUGGGCCGGAACUGACGCUGAGGAGCGAAAGCGUGGGGAGCAAACAGG
RNAcentral lists this ribosomal RNA (253 nucleotides) under uncultured bacterium. RNAcentral's name for it is "partial 16S ribosomal RNA". It matches the Rfam family "Bacterial small subunit ribosomal RNA", at positions 524 to 776 of the family's 1533-position model. The record is from RNAcentral.